Molecule: long non-coding RNA, 843 nt
Filed under: Linum usitatissimum (flax)
Lineage: Eukaryota; Viridiplantae; Streptophyta; Magnoliopsida; Malpighiales; Linaceae
Description: long non-coding RNA (LUSI_LNC002104)
Source: RNAcentral
GCUCUUCAAAAUGGCGCGCCGCCGAACAUUGAUGACGCCAAUGCGGGUUCGAACGCCCACCGCGGUGACAAUGGAGCGGAAGAGGUAUUUUCGUUGAUUCAGAUCUCUCCUACCUUAACUUUCUGAAUCUGCUACUUCUCCAUUUCGUGUAUGGAUUUUCGUUCUGUUUGAAUCGUAUUACACUUUCAGUAGCGUUGUUGAAUAUAUAAUGGUGAAUCGACCUCUAGCUUCUAGUAAUGUUGAGCUGAUUGUAACACCAGGCUUAGCAAUUGUCAGUAGGGAUCGUGCUUGUUUAGUUUGAGUUAAGCCAGUGGUCAUGAGAAGGGCUUCUCUUCAGCUGUAUACAAAGAGAGGUGAUCCCAUCUUGUUAUUCACCCAGACACUCUCUAACCAUGCCACCGUUCACAUCUAUAUUACUUGUGAUGAAAUUGUACUAAGUAAUAGGAGUCCCAAUUGCUCAGGGUUGAUACCUGUGAAUGAUUAAUUACCUCGUGUUUCUAUACAGGGUGACAUGAAAGAGGAAAUCAGCCGAUUACACAAGGAAAAUGAAUUGCACACACAGAAAGAGGUGUGAACAUGUGCUAUUAUGCACAAAUUUCCGUGCUUUCCUCCCUACAUGAAAGUAGGUUUUGAAAACAUAUCUGAUAAUUGCCACUUUGCAGGCGGACCUAGAGGAGAAGAUCAAAGAGUUAAAAGAUCGAAAUGAUUCACAUGUACUGAAGCAGGUAAGCCGAUGUGAAAAAGGCUGGCCGAGUAGAAUAAAUGUGUCUUUGGUCUUUUGACACAUUGCUUUAACAGGCUUCUCUGGAAGAUGCAAUCAAAGCAUUGAUAAGUGCAAAUGAC